RNAcentral lists this ribosomal RNA (253 nucleotides) under uncultured bacterium. Its description in RNAcentral is "partial 16S ribosomal RNA". It matches the Rfam family "Bacterial small subunit ribosomal RNA", at positions 524 to 776 of the family's 1533-position model. The record is from RNAcentral.
UACGGGGGGGGCAAGCGUUGUUCGGAAUGACUGGGCGUAAAGCGUGCGCAGGCGGCGCGUUAAGACAGGUGUGAAAGCCCCGAGCUUAACUUGGGAAUUGCGCUUGUGACUGGCGAGCUGGAGUGUGGCAGAGGGAGGUGGAAUUCCACGUGUAGCAGUGAAAUGCGUAGAGAUGUGGAGGAACACCGAUGGCGAAGGCAGCCUCCUGGGCCAGCACUGACGCUCAUGCACGAAAGCGUGGGGAGCAAACAGG